This is a long non-coding RNA of Salvia hispanica, 1181 nucleotides long. RefSeq lists it as uncharacterized. Lineage: Eukaryota; Viridiplantae; Streptophyta; Magnoliopsida; Lamiales; Lamiaceae. The record is from RefSeq and is a predicted model, not a curated record.
UUACCAGAGCAUUUAACAUCAGAAUAAAUAACUAGUAACAUCAAUCUAAACAAUAGUGUAUCAAAUCCGGCCGCUUAUUUGUGUAUUGAUAUCUAAAUCAAUAGCAGUAACCAAAACAUCAUCUCACCCAAACUCUUGAUUGCAACGAUUAAGGUGAAGACUAUGGAGAGAGAGAGAGUCGUACGAGAAAGGGUGGACGCAAUCAACCAGAGGAAGAUUAUCCUGUUGCAGGAGAAUAUUGAAACCAAGCCAACCAAAAAGGCACGAAAAGGGUGAAGUAAGGAUAGCAGCAGAGAGUUUAUACAGAUGAUGUCCAAUCUGUUGAAGAGAUGGGCUUUGGUGCCUUGCUUCACUACAAAGUACAAAGUGGAUGCUUUGCCUACCAAAUUAGCCCGGACGAUAUUGGAGAAUUUCGAUAGCGAUACUUGUGGCGUAAAAUACCUGCAUUGUAUAUUGUAUUUAACCGACGAAGACGUGCAGAUGACUUUUGGUCUUCCCAAAGGAAAUGAGAGAAUCGAGAGGAAUACCCGUCAGCCCGUGAACUAGCAAAUGCAGGCAACACAACCCCUUAAGAUGAUGCGGACAGAAUACCUCAUACACAGCUCUUUUUAUUUUAUAGGAGCAUCCGCAUCGUGUCUCCAUGUUUCUUACCCAUGCUCGUUUUCUGACACUUUUUUUUAUUAGGCUGCUGAGUGAUACCCGGGGGGAGAUCUUUUCAGGAAGCUCUUCCUAAUCGUCCUCGACACUAUCUUCCUUAAUCCACCUGGAGACGCUUACUGCCACACUCAGAUUAUAAAAACAAUUCAAGACUUUCCGAAUGUUAGGGACUAUAAUUGGUGUGGGUACGUGCUAGACAUGAUACAAACUGUGGUCCGAUAAUCCGAGGAAAGCAUUCUCUGGCCCGCUCUCCUUUCUCGUUCUUUGCUACGUGGACAGGAUCAUGCUCAAGAGACGCCUGGUAACACGUACAUUCCCAACGAUUAAGGGGUGGACAAUACAGCUCCUAUACAAACGACAGAAGAUGGAGUUUGAGCCAGGGCCGUUUGGAAGAGGAAAGGAAGAGCCCACGCUUGAUCCGAGGAAUUAGUUAGGCGAAGAAGCCUUUCAAGCAGUUGCAACUUGCAACAGCUUUGUUGGAGAUGAACGAGAAAAGUCCAAGUGGUAACCCAAGAGUUAUGGAA